Molecule: ribosomal RNA, 253 nt
Filed under: uncultured bacterium
Lineage: Bacteria
Description: partial 16S ribosomal RNA
Rfam family: Bacterial small subunit ribosomal RNA
Source: RNAcentral
UACGGAGGGUGCAAGCGUUAAUCGGAAUUACUGGGCGUAAAGCGCGCGUAGGCGGCUCGGUCAGUCGGGUGUGAAAUCCCUGGGCUCAACCUGGGAACUGCAUUCGAUACUGCCAAGCUAGAGUGUGGGAGAGGGUAGUGGAAUUCCCGGUGUAGCGGUGAAAUGCGUAGAUAUCGGGAGGAACAUCAGUGGCGAAGGCGACUGCCUGGCCCAACACUGACGCUGAGGUGCGAAAGCGUGGGUAGCAAACAGG